CGUAGGCAGCGAGCGUUGUUCGGAGUUACUGGGCGUAAAGAGUGCGUAGGCGGUUUUCUAAGUUUGGUGUGAAAUCUCCCGGCUCAACGUGGGAGGGUUGCGCCGAAGACUGGAAGGCUUGAGUAUGGGAGAGGUUAAGCGGAAUUCCUGGUGUAGCGGUGAAAUGCGUAGAUAUCAGGAGGAACACCUGCGGUGUAGACGGCUUACUGGACCAUAACUGACGCUGAGGCACGAAAGCGUGGGUAGCAAACAGGAUUAGAUACCCUGGUAGUCCACGCCCUAAACGAUGCAUACUUGGUGUGGGUAGUUCAUUCUAUCCGUGCCGGAGCUAACGCGUUAAGUAUGCCGCCUGGGGAGUACGGUCGCAAGGCUG
RNAcentral lists this ribosomal RNA (373 nucleotides) under uncultured organism. RNAcentral's name for it is "bacterial SSU rRNA". It matches the Rfam family "Bacterial small subunit ribosomal RNA", at positions 526 to 896 of the family's 1533-position model. The record is from RNAcentral.